UUUUACCGAGUGGCGGACGGGUGAGUAACGCGUGGGUAACCUGCCUCAUACAGGGGGAUAACGGUUAGAAAUGACUGCUAAUACCGCAUAAGACCACAGCACCGCAUGGUGCAGGGGUAAAAACUCCGGUGGUAUGAGAUGGACCCGCGUCUGAUUAGGUAGUUGGUGGGGUAACGGCCUACCAAGCCGACGAUCAGUAGCCGACCUGAGAGGGUGACCGGCCACAUUGGGACUGAGACACGGCCCAA
RNAcentral lists this ribosomal RNA (248 nucleotides) under uncultured bacterium. RNAcentral describes it as "partial 16S ribosomal RNA". It matches the Rfam family "Bacterial small subunit ribosomal RNA", at positions 86 to 334 of the family's 1533-position model. The record is from RNAcentral.